UGGCGGACGGGUGAGUAAUGUCUGGGAAACUGCCUGAUGGAGGGGGAUAACUACUGGAAACGGUAGCUAAUACCGCAUAACGUCGCAAGACCAAAGAGGGGGACCUUCGGGCCUCUUGCCAUCGGAUGUGCCCAGAUGGGAUUAGCUAGUAGGUGGGGUAAAGGCUCACCUAGGCGACGAUCCCUAGCUGGUCUGAGAGGGUGACCAGCCACACUGGAACUGAGACACGGUCCAG
RNAcentral lists this ribosomal RNA (235 nucleotides) under uncultured bacterium. Its description in RNAcentral is "partial 16S ribosomal RNA". It matches the Rfam family "Bacterial small subunit ribosomal RNA", at positions 96 to 334 of the family's 1533-position model. The record is from RNAcentral.